UCCCUUGUGUCUCAGCUUGUAAAGAAUCUGCCUGCAAUGCAGGAGACCUGGGUUCAACCCCUAGGUUGGGAA
This 72-nucleotide transfer RNA is filed under the name Bos taurus (domestic cattle). It matches the Rfam family "tRNA". Rfam says of the family: Transfer RNA (tRNA) molecules are approximately 80 nucleotides in length. Their secondary structure includes four short double-helical elements and three loops (D, anti-codon, and T loops). Further hydrogen bonds mediate the characteristic L-shaped molecular structure. tRNAs have two regions of fundamental functional importance: the anti-codon, which is responsible for specific mRNA codon recognition, and the 3' end, to which the tRNAs corresponding amino acid is attached (by aminoacyl-tRNA synthetases). tRNAs cope with the degeneracy of the genetic code in two manners: having more than one tRNA (with a specific anti-codon) for a particular amino acid; and 'wobble' base-pairing, i.e. permitting non-standard base-pairing at the 3rd anti-codon position. Lineage: Eukaryota; Metazoa; Chordata; Mammalia; Artiodactyla; Bovidae. The record is from Rfam by way of RNAcentral. RNAcentral also lists the same sequence under 5 other names.